RNAcentral lists this ribosomal RNA (434 nucleotides) under uncultured bacterium. RNAcentral describes it as "partial 16S ribosomal RNA". It matches the Rfam family "Bacterial small subunit ribosomal RNA", at positions 29 to 507 of the family's 1533-position model. The record is from RNAcentral.
AGCGAACGCUGGCGGCAGGCCUAACACAUGCAAGUCGAACGAACCUUUCGGGGUUAGUGGCGGACGGGUGAGUAACACGUGGGAACGUGCCUUUAGGUUCGGAUUAACUCAGGGAAACUUGUGCUAAUACCGAAUGUGCCCUUCGGGGGAAAGAUUAAUCGCCUUUAGAGCGGCCCGCGUCUGAUUAGCUAGUUGGUUGAGGUAAUGGCUCACCAAGGCGACGAUCAGUAGCUGGUCUGAGAGGAUGAUCAGCCACAUUGGGACUGAGACACGGCCCAAACUCCUACGGGAGGCAGGAGUGGGGAAUCUUGCGCAAUGGGCGAAAGCCUGACGCAGCCAUGCCGCGUGAAUGAUGAAGGUGUUAGGAUUGUAAAAUUCUUUAACCGGGGACGAUAAUGACGGUACCCGGAGAAGAAGCCCCGGCUAACUUCGUG